Molecule: ribosomal RNA, 253 nt
Filed under: uncultured bacterium
Lineage: Bacteria
Description: partial 16S ribosomal RNA
Rfam family: Bacterial small subunit ribosomal RNA
Source: RNAcentral
UACGUAGGGGGCUAGCGUUGUCCGGAUUUAUUGGGCGUAAAGAGCGUGUAGGCGGCCAGGUAGGUCUGCUGUGAAAACUCGAGGCUCAACCUCGAGACGUCGGCGGAAACCAUCUGGCUAGAGUCCGGAAGAGGAGAGUGGAAUUCCUGGUGUAGCGGUGAAAUGCGCAGAUAUCAGGAAGAACACCCGUGGCGAAGGCGGCUCUCUGGGACGGUACUGACACUGAGACGCGAAAGCGUGGGGAGCGAACAGG